UUGACUUUAUCAAUAAUACAGUUUUUUCACAAAUUGAGAGUUUUAUUGUGAAAAACCCCGCCGGACGUAUUUUGUUCUCCUUGGCGAAACGCGUGACGCACAGAAGAGUAGCAGUGGACACAAACACAGACUUGUUCAGCUUUAGUUGCCACAGAGCAUCACCAAUCAUCCCUCUCAGAGUAUACACAGCACUGCAGUGGACAAACCAAGGAACACCGCAUGGAAACAAUUCAGCUUUGAUGUGAAUGAGUCCAAGCUACAGAGGCAGUUGCACAGCUAUUAGCUUGACUGAUCGUUGGGGUUGUCUGUCCAGUCUACAAGCAGUAGUCGAAACCUCUCCACCUCCAGCAUGAGUGAGCUAACAGACUUUGAAAAAGGCAAAAUAGUCGGCGCGCGUAUUGGAGGCAUGUCUGUGAGCGAAACUGCCGAGCUGUGUAACGUUUCAGCCCGAACAGUGAUGAAAGUCAUGAGUGCUUAUAAGAACUACGGAUUUACUGCAUCAGCACAGAAAAAAAAAACACGCAAGCCACAGAAAAAUACAGUUGCUAAUGGAAAAGCGGCCAGGGCGAAAGUGGUUCCUGAGUCUGAGGUCGAAACACAAAAUCCUGAUGAAGACAUGGACACGCCUGAACCCAAGACCCAAGAAGAUGAAUAACUUGGUCUGAUGAGCUGUACUUUGAUCCUUAUGUUACAUUUACACUUUUUCUGUUUUCAGAAAGCCACAGUAUGCCUUUUUUUUAACCAACACUUUUCCUGUCUGCUGAGAGAUUAUCUGUUAAAAAAAAAAAAAGAAAAAAAAAAAGAAUAUCAAUUACUUUAUUUAUAGUAAACUAAUUUUACUGUUUAGUUUAAAGAAAUUCGAAAUAGGAGUGGCCAAAAAUGAUCUUAAACUGUUUGCUGAUGUGGACUGGCUGUGUUGCAAACUCAUACUUUAUUUUUAUUUUUAUUUUUUUGAGCAAUAUUGCAUAUUUUUAACAAAUAAAUCUUAAAUUUAAAUCUUUUUGUGUAUUUUCUUUCUGUGUUAAUGACACUAUUUCAUUUCUCAAAUUGCACAUACUCUCUGAGAGGAGGCAACAGGCAGUUAGAAAAUUAGACGUCCUUCAAAGUUGUCGAUUAAAUAUCAUGGAGGAACAUUGUACAUAAAUUUUGUUAAAGCAUAACUGCUGACAACCUUCAGCAUGCUGUACUGAGAUUAAUUUGUGGGUCACCGGCAGGAGAGUGGAGGACAGAGGAGCAGACAUGAAUAGAACAAAUUACUUAAUUUGUUCUUGCUGAGGUGUCUCGGUCGUUCCUCUCCUAGCAGUAUUAGAAUGUGCACCCCAUGGUCCUGGCGCUUUUAUUCUGAAAAUCUAUGAGCGGAACUAGUUCCUUGCUUCCUUGUAAAACAACUGUACUCUGUACUCGUCGUACAGUGACAGAAGAGCAAGGAGGACACUACAUUUGACAGCUUGUCAGCAGCUGAUUGGUCCACUAACCAGGACAUCACUGCUUCAGCAUUCAAAAUCAUGGAAGCGCCAUGUGACAGUGGACGUUGGGGUACCUAAGUGACAGUGCUCCAACACAGUGGCUGGGUUUCCUGCUUGUUUGUCAGGUGACAGUGUCCAAACGAGAUAUUCACCACUUUAAAAGCAGUGUUCAAAUCAGUAUGAGUGACUUGACAGAGUUUGAAAGGUGCCAGAUUGUUGCUGCACGGCUGUCGGGUGCAUCUGUCACAAAAACGGCACAGCUGUUUAACGUGGCAAGGGGAACAGUGUCAAGAGUCAUGACUGUGUACAUCAAACAUGGACGAACAGCAUCAGCAAAAAAGAACAGCGGGCGCAAGUCAAAGCUCACUGAAAAGGACAGACAGACACUUCUCCAGAUAGUCGAUGAACACCCCGAGUACACCGCCUGUAAGAUAACCUCAGAGCUAAAUAGACACCUCUCUCAUACAGUCUCUGUAAAGACUGUACGGCGUGAGCUCCAUAAAGCUGGUGUCUUUCGAGGUGCAACAAAUCAGAAACCAGAGAUAGAAACUGAUUCCCCAAAGUUCAAUGGAAAGAACAGUGAGCCUUACAAAGAAUGUGAUGCACAGACUAUAUCUGAACCCCAGGGUGCUGUGCAAAGGUACAGCACAGAAGAAGCUGAACCCCAAAUCUGAACGUGAAAACGAUCACUACUCUCAAAGGUUUCAUGACAGGAAUAAAGAACCUGAACCUCAGACUAAUUAAAAGGAAUUACCUCAUCUGGUGGUAGAUUUCAGCCUUUUUUAUUAUGUCCAGACUGGUUCACUAGUAACUGUCCUCACUGUGUUACCUGUUGUUUUUCUGUAGGAAUUUGUUCUCAUGCAGCUUUUGUUCCUUUCCCAAGCCUUUAUUUCCCGAGUUUACCAGCAAACAUGGAACUUUGGUUUGGUUUGCUAAUAGGAUUCUCAGGUAUCCAGACAUCAUAACACUGUUUUAAUCAAAUGGUAAAACAGUAAAACUCUGAAAUAACAUAACCAAGGCAAAGCUAAUAGAAUACGUCAUACAUAUAUAUUGAAAAAGCAAGAGGCUUAAUGAUUAAUAUUUAAAAAGAAUCUCAUGUGUUGAAAAUUACAGUACUAAUGUAACUGCAGUGAUUUAGCUUGUUCUCUUCACGGCUGUGCGUGCGCUUUACACGGUGACGCAACAACAGACCCGGAAGUGCAGCGCCAACCACAAACACACCUGUGACAGCGCCGCUGUUACUCUGUGGAAGAGGGUUCACGUGUCCAACCGCGAGAGGUUUGACCUGUGUUUUCAUCCGUUUUCUCGGCGUCAGAGCGAAUAUGUUUGCAGUGUUUAUGUUUUUUAUGCAAAGAACAUUUUACACCUCAACAUGAACGUGUUGCGGUAGAAAGGUGUAAGGCUACAUUUAGCCAGGUUAGCUUUGCUUUCUUAGCUUUUGUAACUGAAGCUGUGCAAUAAUGACUGAUUGUUUUAUUUUUAAGGUGGACAGCAUUAGGCGGUUCAGUAAAACUCACUCGUUUUCCCGAGAAGAGCACAUGACUGAUUAAACCAUUUUUAGCUGUCCUGUUGCGUUUGUGUCCUGACUGAUUAGCUGUUAACCUGUUUCUUUUCGGGGGGGUUCUGGAAGUGCUGGAGGUGAACUGGUGUAGAGAACACUGGGGAUGAUUUUCAGGGGCCUGUACUACGAAGCAGAUUUUCGUCUAAUGCGGGUUUUCUGUACUGCCAAGGUGGUUCACUUCUCACGGAGGUACAUCACCAUGGUAACUGAUGUUGCAGACGAUGGACAUUACAUUAGUGAUCAACAGGGCCAAGAAGUAAAACCAGCCAUCUCCAUCUACAGUGCUGUGCAAAAGAUUUGACCCACCUUUUGUUUCUCUAUAUUUCGCUUCCCAAAGAGCCAGACUUGCUUGUAAUUUUUAAAGUUGUCUUGAGCAUCAAAUAUCCAGGCUUUCUGAAGGUCUUUCAAAGUUUUUCCUUUGGACAUUGGCUUCAUUGGAGCAUUCAAAAGACAUUUAACUCAAGGAAUGAAGCAGUGUUAUGUUAACAUGUAAUGGAAAUCAUAGCAAAGAACCAGUUUGAAAUGA
Oreochromis aureus is the source of this 3553-nucleotide long non-coding RNA. RefSeq lists it as uncharacterized. The transcript has 4 exons. NCBI's taxonomy places the organism in Eukaryota, Metazoa, Chordata, Actinopteri, Cichliformes, Cichlidae. The record is from RefSeq and is a predicted model, not a curated record.